This 407-nucleotide ribosomal RNA is filed under the name uncultured bacterium. RNAcentral describes it as "bacterial SSU rRNA". It matches the Rfam family "Bacterial small subunit ribosomal RNA", at positions 355 to 774 of the family's 1533-position model. The record is from RNAcentral.
UGGGGAAUAUUGCACAAUGGGCGCAAGCCUGAUGCAGCAACGCCGCGUGAGGGACGACGGCCUUCGGGUUGUAAACCUCUUUUGGCAGGGAAGAAGCGAAAGUGACGGUACCUGCAGAAAAAGCACCGGCUAACUACGUGCCAGCAGCCGCGGUGAUACGUAGGGUGCAAGCGUUGUCCGGAAUUAUUGGGCGUAAAGAGCUCGUAGGCGGUUUGUCGCGUCUGCUGUGAAAACCCGAGGCUCAACCUCGGGCCUGCAGUGGGUACGGGCAAACUAGAGUGCGGUAGGGGAGAUUGGAAUUCCUGGUGUAGCGGUGGAAUGCGCAGAUAUCAGGAGGAACACCGAUGGCGAAGGCGGAUCUCUGGGCCGUAACUGACGCUGAGGAGCGAAAGCAUGGGGAGCGAACA